AGCAGCAGCGAGUCGUCUGCAGCGAUCAGGCUGUGUGGUGUUCUGGAUGUUCCUGCUCGAUGUGUUCGUUUUAACCUCCUGGCAGAUCCUGGACCCCCUCAGACGGGUGGUGCUGCAGCACGACUUAGAGAGUGACCUGCUGAUCCGGACGUGAAGGUCCGGCUGUCCUCUGAACACUGCAGCAGCACCAACAUGGAGCUGUGGCUCACCGCUGUGUACGGAUACAAAGUCCUCUGCUGGGUCUCGGGUGUUUCAUGGCCUGGAACAUCUGGACUGUGCGGACGAUCAUCCCGCUGUCGGCAGUAAACACCUGGCGCUGAGUAUGUUCGCUGUGACGGUGUUCCAGUGUGUCA
Larimichthys crocea (large yellow croaker) is the source of this 353-nucleotide long non-coding RNA. RefSeq lists it as uncharacterized. The transcript has 3 exons. The record is from RefSeq and is a predicted model, not a curated record. NCBI's taxonomy places the organism in Eukaryota, Metazoa, Chordata, Actinopteri, Sciaenidae.